RNAcentral lists this ribosomal RNA (403 nucleotides) under uncultured bacterium. RNAcentral's name for it is "partial 16S ribosomal RNA". It matches the Rfam family "Bacterial small subunit ribosomal RNA", at positions 29 to 526 of the family's 1533-position model. The record is from RNAcentral.
AUUGAACGCUGGCGGCAGGCCUAACACAUGCAAGUCGAGCGAGAGGCGGACGGGUGAGGAAUGUAUAGGGGCUGCGCGAGAGAGGGGGAUAACAGAAGGAAACAGUAGCGAAAACCGCAUACAAUCGGAUAACGCAUAUGUGAUUGGCUGGUAGGGGAGGUAAUUGCUCACCUAGGCGCCGAUCACUCGCGGGUCUGAGAGGAUGAUCAGCCACACUGGGACUGACACACGGCACAGACUCCUACGGAGGCAGAAGUGGGGAAUAUUGCACAAGGGGCGAAAGCCUGAUGCAGCCAUGCCGCGUGUAUGAAGAAGGCCCUAGGGUUGUAAAGUACUUUCAGUCGGGAGGCGUUACCGACAGAAGAAGCACCGGCUAACUCCGUGCCAGCAGCCGCGGUAAUUC